Dehalococcoidia bacterium DG_22 is the source of this 85-nucleotide non-coding RNA. Lineage: Bacteria; Bacillati; Chloroflexota; Dehalococcoidia. The record is from Rfam.
UCCCGAUAAAGGCGAACCGUCCGAAAGGGUGGGGCGCAAAGCUACGGGCCUAAGGCCGAGAGGCUAUGGCUGCCGGGCUGCCGAA